AUCAGGGACAUUGGAAUAUUUUUUCAAUUUUUGAACAGUAAGCAGAUACGCUAAGUCUAAUCUUUAUCCACCCAGAAUGGCUUAAUCAAAAGCAAGUUCACUGUUAACUUUCCUCUUCUCUCCUUUCUCGUUCGGUAUGCUCCCCAAUCCUCUUUCUGUAAGUACUAUGUUCUUCUACUGCUUCACUUCAUUUAAUACAGAUUUUUUGUCUAUGUACCUGACAUCACUUACUCCUUUUCUUGCAAGGUUUUGUAGCACUAUUGGUCUUUUUGCUCUCUCACAUGACAUUCCAUUGCCUCCUUUUCCUCUGAGAAGCUACCAAGAGCUAUUGCUUAAUCUUGAAUUGCAAUCUUUCCUUCGUCCAAGUGAUAUCAAAUCCUGGCCAAAAUAAUCUUCUAGCUGGGAGGCGUGGAUAGACAGACUCCAACCCCUUUUCUCUUGUACUUGGAAGCUCUUGUGUAUUUAUGACUUCAUUAAGCUAACCAUAUGUGCACCACCUUUCUGCCCGGGGUUAUUGGCUGACUCCUUGAGGCUAUGGUCCAGAUCUUGCAACUCUUUUAUUUUGCCUAUGGGACCAAUAUCUAUCACAUUGAAGGAUAUUAAGGUCCUAAUAUGCCUACUUAUUAUUGGCAAGGAGGUUCCUAGCUCCUUCACAGAAUUGCUUUCCAGAUACAAGAAACUGGAUCGAUUCACUUCUUAUAGCCCUUAUUGAGUACAGCAUCAGCCAAUUCGAUUAUACUCUAUUCGUCUAGUGCUUGAUUUACAAAUUCAUUUUCUGUCCCUCCAGUGUGUACCUGCCGUUAGCUUGUUGUCUUGCCAUAGUUCAGCCUUGUGCUCUUGGUACCUGUUAGAUAACAGCCUGCACACCUAGUGAAACAGAGGAAUAGGGAGAGAGAGAGAGAAAGAAAUAGAUGAGAAAAAAGAUAGAUUGGAUGAGAAAAGAAAUAAAUUGGAUGAGAAGAGAAGAGAAUAUUCAGAGAUGAGAGAAAAGUAUUAUUAUUUAUUGAUUCUUGGAAUGAAUCUCCUCUAGUACAUUUCUCUUAUUUAUAUAGCAAAGACUCCCUCUACAAUAACUAUUCUACUCUCCUCCUCAUACAACUAUUGCUCCAUUCCUAUUAUUUCCUUUCCCAUAUUUAGCUCUGCUGUACGUGACAAUACCUCUCCCCAUGAGCACAUUCUUGUUCCCAAGAAUGUGAAAAUUCAGGAAAUAGGAACUGAAAAUUGCAGGUACUUCCUUGUUUGCAAUUGGAAAUAUGAACUGAAUGGCAAAAAAAAAAAGGCUGGAAGUUUCAGGUACAUCCUUCUCAUCAGCUGAAAGUAUGAACACUUAAGUGACAAAGAGUUAAUUUUCUUUCUUUUUCUUCUCCCAAUUUCCCAUGUUUGUUCCUUUAAGAUCACAAUACCAUUUGGUGGUUUAAUUUUCUUCCUUUCCCUACUUGACAUUUCCCAUUUAUCUUCCAUGAGACUGAUAAGAGUAAAACAGUUGAAUUCACCAUCUUUGCUCCCUAAAUACUGCCAUGUACUUCCAACACCCACACUUUUUGAAACACCUUUAUAUUUCUUUUUUUUCAAAAACAUUCCCAAGAAGUUCUGCAGCAAAAAGUUCAGUUUUAUGAAUGAAUUGUGCAAUUACAUCAGAUUCAGCUCAUACUUUCCCCAUUGCAGACUCUAGUUGCCCAUCAUCACCAUCCUCAUAUAUCUCACCUAUGCUAGACAUAUCAACAAUAAAUCUUACUCCAUCUCAGCACUAAGUUGAUCUUCGUAUUUUUCUUCUAAUCCCAGCUGUGGAUGAAUUGUUACUUUUUAAACUUCAACAGAUAUGUCGUCUUGGUCCUCAGCAACCAUGUUUUCAUUUUGAAUUGAAUUUAAAUGAUCUAGGACAAUCACCUCUCCAUCAAUAAUAUCAACCUUUUCCGCUUCUCCAUCGCCAACAAUAUUAACCUCUUUCUUGUCUCCAUUACCAUGAAGAAAUGUUGCAUCAUCAAAAAGGUCAAUCUCCUCCUUAACAUCAAAAUCUCUUAUCUUUCCUUUUUGAUUCAGCAAUCCCUUUUCACUACCAUUGCUCUAAGAAUUCUUGGGUAAUGAGUUUGGCCUUUCUAUUUGCUCUUCUAACAAUUUAUCGAAUUUUUGCCAUCUUUGAUACAGCAACUCCUCUAAGCUUUUUGUUACUCUUCUUUCAAAAAUUUCUAGCAUUCCCUUGAGAUCCUUUUGUUCCCAAAAUUGUACUUCCGUGGUUUGAUGCUCUAAAUGUAUUUUAUUUCCAAGAAAAUUUGAGGAAGAAAAUAUUAAAAAGAAAAUCAGACCUAAAGCAGGGAUUCAGAACAUGGAACUGAUAUUGGAAUUGGAAGAAAAUUACAGAGAAAGGAAGAAGAAAAGCUUGUGAAAGGAACAAAGAACAGGGAAAUAGAAGUUGAGGCAAAAAUAAGGAUUUCAAGAAUUUCAAGAAGGAAUAGAGAAAAGAAACCUUUACAGUGCAGAAAUCGAAAAUAGAGAGAUUGAGAAGAAUUUGAUUGAGGGACAAGGAAUAAGGUAGCUCUUAAAAUGGGGAAAAAAUCUACUUUUUAAAAAUAUUUUUUGAAUUUAGGAAAAGUCUAGUUCUCGAAAAAAAAAGAAAUUAGAGACAAGGUGGAGGAAGAACAAAAUUUCAAGAAUUUCAAGAAACGGGUUGAAACGCUGGAAAUGAGAAAUUAAAGAAGGGAAUAGAAGAAAGAACCAGAAAGUAAUAUAAGAAGAAAGAAUUUGAUUCAAGAUUUUCAAAAAAGAAAGAAGGUGAGAAAGGGAAGAAUUUUCAAUGAAAGAAGGAAGAAUUUUCAAAGGAGGAGAAAGAAGAAUUUAGAGGGAGAGAGAGAGAGAGAAAAUAGCAUAAAGAAACCUGGAAUUCUGGAAUACUCCCAUUGAUCUGUUCAGGCUUGUGACUCUAGCAAGAAGGAUUGGAAGCAAACCCAGCUCAAAAUCGGGUGCACACUUAGUAAAAUAGAGGGAAAUGGAGAGAAAAAGAGAGAGAUGAGAAAAGAGAUAUAUUGGAUGAGAAAAGAAAUAGAUUGGAUGAGAAGAGAAGAAAAUAUUCAAAGAUGAGAGAAAAGUAUUCUUGUUUAUUGACUCUUGGAAUGAAUCUCCUCGAGUACAUUUCUCUUAUUUAUAUUACAAAGACUCCCUCUACAAUAACUACUUACUCUCCUUCUCAUACAACUACAGCUCCAUUCUUAUUAUUUCCUUUCCCAUAUCUAGCUUUGCUAUACGUAACAGUACCAUGUUGUUGUCUGUUGUUUGCUGAGCUCUAUCUACCAUAGUAUCAGAUGAUGCGCCAUUGAGCAAGGUGAAUGGUGCUUUUUGGAUUGUACAACUGUGGUUAUUCUCUUACUUUCCGGAGCUGACAGAUACUCUUCCAGUCCCUAUUGAUAGUGUCUUUGGUAGGAGAGUUACUUCUUUGGCCUGCAUCUGGGAUGAAGGCCGGGUACUGAAGUUUCUAGUUCAACUACUUGCUCGGGUCUUCUCUGGCUUCACUCCUUUUAAUGACACUGAGGCCCUUUGAGUCCUUCCCACCUGGCUUAUCUUCCAAAGCCACUUUUACAGAUGAUGUUGUUAGCCAUUGAGUCUCCAUUAUGGCUGUCCGACACCUACAUAUUGGUACCUCCUUUAACACUCGUCUAAGAAUAGUGAAGCUUGAACUGGAGUUAUGCAUGUCUUCCCUUUGGUGCCAACAACUGGGCUUCAUUCAGGAUGUUUCCUCUGGCAUCCUCAUUCGUGCUAACCCAAUCACUAGCAAUAGGAUCAAUCUAUCAUCUCCAACAAACAUGGAUCGAUACAGUUACAAGCUAGAGCAGCUGCCAGACAUUUGCUAGAUGAUUCCCAUGGAGGCCAUUGACCCUUUCUGCCGCACGUUACAAAGCUGGUGGUCUUCCAAGUUUCAUGAAGCUGUUGUCAAACCUUUGGGCACAGGUACCUACUGUUUUCUGGUUCUCAUCCUGUUAUACUCGUUCUUUCACUAAUCUCUACUACUUUUUCGAGGUUCUUUACCACUCACUUCCUUUACUACUACAUCCUAGAAGGCAGCCUCCUCUAGACCUACACCUCCCUCCAAGAAGUGGGAAAGUGCUCCUUCCUAGUCACAGCUUCCUCCAUCCAACAAGACCAGGGCACCGGUCAAGAGGUACAGGCCAAAAAUUAGAAAUUCUCCUCCCCCUCCGAAGAGACAACGAGGAGGAUCAUCAUUAUCUUCCAUUAGGCACUUUGACCGUCAUGUACCCAAGGCUAGGAAGCCUCAGGCGAGUCCAGCUGUUCUAGUAGAAGCUUCUAUUGGUGGUACUUCUUUCGCUUCUCAGAGUGGUCAUGCUACAUAGAAGAUAGUAGAUGUUGGAGAUGAUGAUGAUUCUCUAGGAGAUAUCCUUUUACUUGCUUCUCCUGAGGUACCUACUACUUUGGCUCUAGCUCCUGUGAUUUCCUCUACCCUUAGUUCUUCUGCUAUUUCGGGCCAAAAAGCUGCCCCCUUGGUUAGCUGCCCCCUUGGUUGAUGUAGUUGAUCCUCUCCAAGAUCUUGACUUCUCUUUUCUAGCCCAGUUUUAUAGCAACUCCAGUGUUCGCCUUGCAGCUAGGCUAUCUGACAAUACAGUCAUAGUAGCCAAGAACCAACUAUACUAUCUGCUAUCCAUAGAGCUUGGUUCUCAUACCGAGGAACAGGGGUCUUUAUUGCUUUCUGCUUUGUCCACCCUGAUUGUAGCAAAAACACCGUUCCAAGAUGCUCAGACACAGGUUGUUGAGAUCUUGCUUGCUAAUGCCAAAAAGGUUCAGUCUUUUGCAGCACUCUCUGCUUCUGUGAUUGCCUUCACCACCAGACACCGUGAGUACAGGGAGGUAGAAUAGGCCUCUCUUAUGCAACUGGAGGAUGAUUUGUUAGCUGAUCACAUGAUAGGCAAGGGUGUGAUAUUAUUUGAGGGUGAGGUUUUAAGGGAGCUAACCGCACUUACAAAGGCUAAGAUUUGGGAGCACAAGUUCUGUUCAAACUUCCUAGCUUCCUACCGAAGCCACUAGGCUGCUCUUUGUGAUCUGUAGAUUCCUUUUAUUUGAUUACUAGUUUUAUAAACCAGUGUAUUGAUUUUCACUGUGGUACAUUUAUUCUUACUUUAUGUUAUCAUUGAUUUGACAGUUAUAAUGUGAAUGAUAAGCAAUGUGUUGACUUUAUUUAUUUAUAUAUGCUGCAAGUGGUUCAAAAGUCAACUUUUGAUUACAAAACUUAUCUUAUCUGCAUGUGAUUAAAUUGAAUAUCUAGCUAUUUUGUUGACUUUCAUUACAUUGUUCUAUGCAGGAAUGCUAUGUUAGCCAUGGGAUCGGCUUUAAUGAGACCGUGGGUCGACCCAUAACUAUUAUCUUCUGUUUGUUUGUUGCAUUUCCCACAUAGUGGAAAAGUAUUUCUUAAGGUUCCUGUGAAAAAUAAUCUCAGCUGUCUCACAGUUUACGGUUACGCGGGCGUGCCAGAUACUGAGUAUAUCUUUUAAUUUGCGCUUUGACUUUUAAACCAAAUGAUUGUGGGAACUGACUUAUUAUACGCA
Molecule: long non-coding RNA, 5546 nt
Organism: Hevea brasiliensis (rubber tree)
Lineage: Eukaryota; Viridiplantae; Streptophyta; Magnoliopsida; Malpighiales; Euphorbiaceae
Exons: 2
Source: RefSeq, a predicted model, not a curated record